AGACUGCCACCCGAGGUUAGUCCAGUGGAACCACCUCAGUAUAGAAAUACUAGGCUAAAGGACCUCCUGCCAUUCCCACACAUGAGUUACCCUUCUCUACCUGAGAAGGCGUAAUCACGGAAUAUCAGGAUAGAGCAGAACCUAAGUCUGACCAUAGUCAUACUCCACUAAAUCAAUUCCCCAAAUCAUGAGAUAUUCC
RNAcentral lists this long non-coding RNA (199 nucleotides) under Vigna radiata. Its description in RNAcentral is "long non-coding RNA (VRAD_LNC006309)". Lineage: Eukaryota; Viridiplantae; Streptophyta; Magnoliopsida; Fabales; Fabaceae. The record is from RNAcentral.